Molecule: ribosomal RNA, 591 nt
Filed under: uncultured bacterium
Lineage: Bacteria
Description: bacterial SSU rRNA
Rfam family: Bacterial small subunit ribosomal RNA
Source: RNAcentral
CCUACGGGAGGCAGCAGUUAGGAAUCUUGCGCAAUGGGCGAAAGCCUGACGCAGCGACGCCUCGUGGGGGAUGAAGGCUCUCGGGUUGUAAACCCCUUUCGGCAGGAACGAAAUUGACGGUACCUGAAGAAGAAGCACCGGCCAACUACGUGCCAGCAGCCGCGGUAAUACGUAGGGUGCAAGCGUUGUCCGGAUUUAUUGGGCGUAAAGAGCUCGUAGGCGGCUUCGUAAGUCGGGUGUGAAACCUCCAGGCUCAACCUGGAGACGCCACCCGAUACUGCGAUAGCUAGAGUCUGGUAGGGGAUCACGGAAUUCCUGGUGUAGCGGUGAAAUGCGCAGAUAUCAGGAGGAACACCGAUGGCGAAGGCAGUGAUCUGGGCCAGUACUGACGCUGAGGAGCGAAAGCGUGGGGAGCAAACAGGAUUAGAUACCCUGGUAGUCCACGCCGUAAACGUUGGGCACUAAGUGUGGGUCCUUAUACACGGAGUCGUCGCGCACGCUACGACAUAAGUCGCCGCCGUCGGAGUACGGUCGCGAGACGUAAACUAAUAGAUAGACGCGNGAGACGUGCGACGACGACGACGAGGAGAG